Molecule: long non-coding RNA, 856 nt
Filed under: Phascolarctos cinereus (koala)
Lineage: Eukaryota; Metazoa; Chordata; Mammalia; Diprotodontia; Phascolarctidae
Description: lncRNA (ENSPCIG00000015747.2)
Source: RNAcentral
GGGUGAAUCCUGGGUUUUAUAGACGGGAAAGAGAAGACGCAUGUGUAGGGGUUUCAUCAAGAUAAAAGUCCACAUGGCCUGUGCUAGGAAAGAGCCAGUCAUAGCAUAGCACAAAGACAUUCUGCUUGUUUACACUGGAGACAAAUUUUCCUCAAUUGACGCAAUUCUAUGGAUUAAAUAAUGGCGUUCUUCCUCAUUUAAAGGGUCUUCACAGUGAGAACUGAAAGGCCUUGUUAUUCUCACCUGCUCUGAAGACUGGGGGAUGGGCCACCCCAGUCCUCCAUGGGACAAAAUCUAGGACCCAACUUGGAUGUGGUGAAAUGGAAGGAACAGAUUUCGUUCCUUACUUGUGGUGUGAGACUGAAAGAGAGCAGAUGCUACUAUCUUUCUCUCUUCCAAGCUGGACCAGACUAUAGUGCCCGGACCACUUCACCCUGCUUUUGCCAAGGUGUCUGCCUAGUCUUCUUUUCCCAUUUCCAGCUCCCUUUUAUGCCUUGUCAUGCCUUGUCUUCCUCUACUGGAAUAUAAACUCCUGGAGGGUAAGGACUCUUUCUUUUUGCUUAUAUUUGUGUCCCCAGCACUUAGCACAGUGAGUGGCAGAGAGUAAGAGCUUAAAAAAAUCCUCUCUGGGGCAGGUGCAGUAGAUAGAGCACCAGCCCUGGAGUGAAGAGGUCCUGAGUUCAAAUCUGAUCUCAGGCUAGACACUUGACACUUAUUAGCUGUGUGACCCUGGGCAAGUCACUUAACCCCAAUUGCCUUGACAAAAGAAAAAAAAAUUCUCUCUGUCUAUCUCUGUGUCUGUCUGUCUCUCUCCCUCUCUCUCCCCUUCUCUGCCUUUCUGUCUCUGUCACUCUCU